This 253-nucleotide ribosomal RNA is filed under the name uncultured bacterium. RNAcentral describes it as "partial 16S ribosomal RNA". It matches the Rfam family "Bacterial small subunit ribosomal RNA", at positions 524 to 776 of the family's 1533-position model. The record is from RNAcentral.
UACGGAGGGAGCUAGCGUUGUUCGGAAUUACUGGGCGUAAAGCGCGCGUAGGCGGCUUUGUAAGUUAGAGGUGAAAGCCCGGGGCUCAACCCCGGAACUGCCUUUAAGACUGCAUCGCUUGAAUCCGGGAGAGGUGAGUGGAAUUCCGAGUGUAGAGGUGAAAUUCGUAGAUAUUCGGAAGAACACCAGUGGCGAAGGCGGCUCACUGGACCGGCAUUGACGCUGAGGUGCGAAAGCGUGGGGAGCAAACGGG